Saimiri boliviensis boliviensis (Bolivian squirrel monkey) is the source of this 1168-nucleotide non-coding RNA. The record is from RefSeq and is a predicted model, not a curated record. NCBI's taxonomy places the organism in Eukaryota, Metazoa, Chordata, Mammalia, Primates, Cebidae.
GACUCUGUCUCUACAAAAAGAAAAAAUAAAGUCUAUCCAUUCAACAAAAUAGCAGGCUACCUGAAUAGAUGAGACUGGCUCACAUGUAGCAGAGGAUAUGUGAUAAGGCAGUAGGUAAGAAGGUCUGCAGUGACAUGGUUCAGGAUCCCAGGUGCAACUCUUUCUUCCACUUCCUGCAAUUCCUCACAUUUUCAAUUUUAGGGCUGUGAACUUCACAGCAAUAAGGACCAGCUAAGAAGAAGCCUAUGAAAUUGGCUUGCACGCCAUCCAGCACUGCAUAUAUCUAAAUAAAGUCGUAAAUAAAUACAUGUGUUAUUUUUAAUCCUAACCUUGGAGAAACAGAGAAGAGGAAAUGAAGCACACAUGAGACCGGAUGAAGGAGAACGUGCCUGCCAGUGUGGGAAAAGCCCUCAGCAGCAUCAGUCAUCUGGCAGUGGUGGCAAAUGGAGUGAGCAGAGAUGAAAUAUCUGCAUUCCACUGGUGGCCGUGAUAGUAAUAGAAAAUGCAUAAGGCGAAAGUGUUCUCACAGGUCCAUAUAGGAGAGCGAAUCAUCCUGGAUCACGCGUGUCUGAGGUCCUGAGCUUCACACCUUGUGUCAGGUGUGUGUUGCCAGUGGAGAAACUGAGCUGCGUGCAUUCUUGCGCAUGAGCCAGACGCCUUGACAGAUGAUUAUUCUUUUCUGCUUGACCUCAAGUUACAGAGAUGCCAGAUGAAGUCAAAGAGGAUACCAGAUGCACCCAGGCUGCUGGGGAGGCACGUACGUCUGAACUGGCCCAGGGCAGCUGUUCUCCAGGGCAGGGCUUGGCCAUGGCAGUGGCCCCAGCGCCUGCAUUCAGCCCAACCCACCAGGUCACUCCAGUCCAGUCUGUAAUGCUCAGAUCCCCAGGCAAUCGCAGGUCUGAGGCCGAAAGAACUAUGAGAAUGUGCAUGGUGAUAUCAGGCACAUGCUCUGAAUGAAGGAAGAGAAACCUAAGCACUUCAAGGGGCAGUGUUCAGAGGAGGGAAAAGACAGCAGGGUCUGCAUGUGAUCCCUACCUGGACUCUCUUAGAAACUCCAUUAUCCUCUUCUCCAACGAUGUAUUCCCAUUCCAGAAUUUCUUACCUUAACGUAUUCAGCCUAAGAUAACGUGCAGAAAUGAGUAAAUGGGGAAUUUUUACUUUUCUGCAA